Molecule: ribosomal RNA, 108 nt
Filed under: Glomus sp.
Lineage: Eukaryota; Fungi; Glomeromycota; Glomeromycetes; Glomerales; Glomeraceae
Description: partial large subunit ribosomal RNA
Source: RNAcentral
AAACGAUUGAAGUCAGUCGUACCGACGAGAAAUCAACUUAUCGUGUGUGAACUUGUGGGCGUGCGUGAGUUUCGGCCUCGCUGUUUGCAUGUUUGUGCGUUUUGGGUG